Molecule: long non-coding RNA, 1471 nt
Filed under: Macaca fascicularis (crab-eating macaque)
Lineage: Eukaryota; Metazoa; Chordata; Mammalia; Primates; Cercopithecidae
Description: lncRNA (ENSMFAG00000049477.1)
Source: RNAcentral
AAAAGUUAUAUGUACUUUGAAGUUUUACAAAAUUGAGUUCAUGUUAUAGAAUUAAUUCAUGAUGAACUUUUAUGUGCUAGGCACUAGUCUUUUUAUUUAUUUAUUUUUACUUCUUUUCCCCCUCUGUGCCAAGUCUUUUUAUUUUUUACUUUUUAUUAACUAUUUCAAUCCUCUUAAUAACUUAAAAAUAGGGUAUUAUUAGUAUCAGCAUUUUGUGGAUGAGGCAACUGAAGGUAGGUAACUUGUCCAAGGUCACAGGUGGCAGAUCAAGGAUUGGAGCCAGACAGCCUGACUGCCCUAGGCCCAACCAAGAGGAGCUGAGAGCAAGCCAUGGGGCAGAAGGAUGUUGGUCAGGCUGGUUUUCUGUUCAGUUAACAUGAAACGCAGGCUGUAAUGUUAAUUCUAGGACAUUACUGAGAAAGCUUUCCAAAGCCAGAGGUGUUUUUUUUUUUGUUUUUUGUUUUUUUUUUUUUUUCACCAUGACCAAGACUUUUUAGCAAAAGUUUGAUUUUGUUUAAAGGCAACAUGGUGUUCUAAGAAGCUUCCACUCACACUCUUGUGGAGGGAAUGGUAGUUGAACUAAAUAGUGAAAUGCUGUAGCACACAGCCUUUAGGGCAGCUUCUGACCUAUUUCUAUGGUCAGGAGAGACACCUAUCUUUCCCUGCUGCCCACAGCCUCCAGCUAUUCACCUUCAGAAUUUCCCAGUCUGUGAUCACAUUCCGAUGAGAGAUCUGCUUCGUUUUUUCCAGGGUAGCAGGAAGUGAGUCACCACCUGUACUAAACAGUCUAGUCUUCUGUGUAUAAAUGAGUAAGGUUGGGGAGCCAAAUUUGAGAACCUUGUGUAAUCCUGAGAUUCUCCAGGAGAAUCCAAGAGCAUGUCAGGAUUAUGCAUGGUGGUAAAGUGGUCUCAUGUUAGUUGUAUCCACAGCUCUCGUCAGAAGCAGACACAGAUACUUUUUGCAAGAAGACAUCUCUAACUUAAGCCUGUAGGAUUCCCAAAGAUUAAAAGCAGGCAAUUAUGAAUUCAGUCAAAUCAUAGCAUUCAAAUAGUCAACCCAAUGUAUUUGAGAAUUGUCAGAAACAAUGAAUAAUAUGUUUCCCAAAGACUGUAGGUUUGGAAUUAUCAGAUACAGAACACAGACUUCAAAUAUUAGAAUUGUGAGAAAAUAGUUACAUGUGAAAUCUAAUACAAAAAAAAGAUGAAGUCAUAAAAUUGAGCAAGCAGUAAGACCACCAAAAACGAUGAGGGGUACCUGAAAAGAAAAUGGAUGAAAUAGAACUUACAGAAAUAAAAUAUAUAGCUGGAUAUGGUGACUCAUACCUGUAAUCCCAGCACUCUUUGUGAGGCUGAGGUGGGAGGACAGUAUUAGCCCAGGAGUUGGAGAUGAGCCUGGGAAACAUGGUGAGAACCCAUUUCUACAAAAAAAUACCCCACCACCACCAAAAAAAAAAAAAAAAAAAAAAAAAAAA